Molecule: ribosomal RNA, 253 nt
Filed under: uncultured bacterium
Lineage: Bacteria
Description: partial 16S ribosomal RNA
Rfam family: Bacterial small subunit ribosomal RNA
Source: RNAcentral
UACAGAGGUCCCAAGCGUUGUUCGGAUUCACUGGGCGUAAAGGGUGCGUAGGCGGUCGGGUAAGUCUGAUGUGAAAUCUCACAGCUUAACUGUGAAACUGCAUUGGAUACUAUCCGGCUCGAGGAAUGGAGGGGAGACUGGAAUACUUGGUGUAGCAGUGAAAUGCGUAGAUAUCAAGUGGAACACCAGUGGCGAAGGCGGCUUACUGGUCCGGUUCUGACGCUGAGGCGCGAAAGCGUGGGGAGCAAACAGG